GAUGAACGCUAGCUACAGGCUUAACACAUGCAAGUCGAGGGGAAACGACAUCGAAAGCUUGCUUUUGAUGGGCGUCGACCGGCGCACGGGUGAGUAACGCGUAUCCAACCUGCCCACCACUUGGGGAUAACCUUGCGAAAGUAAGACUAAUACCCAAUGAUAUCUCUAGAAGACAUCUGAAAGGGAUUAAAGAUUUAUCGGUGAUGGAUGGGGAUGCGUCUGAUUAGCUUGUUGGCGGGGUAACGGCCCACCAAGGCGACGAUCAGUAGGGGUUCUGAGAGGAAGGUCCCCCACAUUGGAACUGAGACACGGUCCAAACUCCUACGGGAGGCAGCAGUGAGGAAUAUUGGUCAAUGGACGAGAGUCUGAACCAGCCAAGUAGCGUGCAGGAUGACGGCCCUAUGGGUUGUAAACUGCUUUUAUAAGGGAAUAAAGUGAGUCUCGUGAGACUUUUUGCAUGUACCUUAUGAAUAAGGACCGGCUAAUUCCGUGCCAGCAGCCGCUGUAA
Molecule: ribosomal RNA, 508 nt
Filed under: uncultured bacterium
Lineage: Bacteria
Description: partial 16S ribosomal RNA
Rfam family: Bacterial small subunit ribosomal RNA
Source: RNAcentral